Molecule: ribosomal RNA, 480 nt
Filed under: uncultured bacterium
Lineage: Bacteria
Description: bacterial SSU rRNA
Rfam family: Bacterial small subunit ribosomal RNA
Source: RNAcentral
UGGGGAAUCUUGGACAAUGGGGGCAACCCUGAUCCAGCCAUGCCGCGUGAGUGAUGAAGGCCUUAGGGUCGUAAAGCUCUUUCGCCUGUGAAGAUAAUGACGGUAGCAGGUAAAGAAACCCCGGCUAACUCCGUGCCAGCAGCCGCGGUAAUACGGAGGGGGUUAGCGUUGUUCGGAAUUACUGGGCGUAAAGCGCACGUAGGCGGACCAGAAAGUUGGGGGUGAAAUCCCGGGGGCUCAACCCCGGAACUGCCUCCAAAACUAUUGGUCUAGAGUUCGAGAGAGGUGAGUGGAAUUCCAAGUGUAGAGGUGAAAUUCGUAGAUAUUUGGGAGGAACACCAGUGGCGAAGGCGGCUCACUGGCUCGAUACUGACGCUGAGGUGCGAAAAGUGUGGGGAGCAAAACAGGAUUAGAUACCCUGGUAGUCCACGCCGUAAAACGAUGAGCACUCGGUGCCGCGGGGUAUCGACCCCUGCGGUG